CCUACGGGAGGCAGCAGUGGGGAAUAUUGCACAAUGGGGGAAACCCUGAUGCAGCGACGCCGCGUGAGUGAGGAAGGAUUUCGGUAUGUAAAGCUCUAUCAGCAGGGAAGAAAAGGACGGUACCUGACCAAGAAGCCCUGGCUAACUACGUGCCAGCAGCCGCGGUAAUACGCAGGGGGCAAGCGUUAUCCGGAUUUACUGGGGGUAAAGGGAGCGUAGACGGCUAAUCAAGUCAGAGGUGAAAGCCCAGGGCUCAACCUUGGGACUGCCUUUGAAACUGAGUAGCUAGAGUGCAGGAGAGGUGAGCGGAAUUCCUAGUGUAGCAGUGAAAUGCGUAGAUAUUAGGAGGAACACCAGUGGCGAAGGCGACUUACUGGACUGUAACUGACGUUGAGGCUCGAAAGCGUGGGUAGCAAACAGGAUUAGAUACCCUAGUAGUC
This 440-nucleotide ribosomal RNA is filed under the name uncultured bacterium. RNAcentral describes it as "partial 16S ribosomal RNA". It matches the Rfam family "Bacterial small subunit ribosomal RNA", at positions 338 to 795 of the family's 1533-position model. The record is from RNAcentral.